This 460-nucleotide ribosomal RNA is filed under the name uncultured bacterium. RNAcentral's name for it is "partial 16S ribosomal RNA". It matches the Rfam family "Bacterial small subunit ribosomal RNA", at positions 338 to 795 of the family's 1533-position model. The record is from RNAcentral.
CCUACGGGAGGCAGCAGUGAGGAAUAUUGGUCAAUGGGCGAGAGCCUGAACCAGCCAAGUCGCGUGAAGGAUGAAGGAUCUAUGGUUCGUAAACCUCUUUUAUAUGGGAAUAAAGUGAGGAACGUGUUCCUUUUUGUAUGUACCAUAUGAAUAGGCAUCGGCUAACUCCGUGCCAGCAGCCGCGGUAAUACGGAGGAUGCGAGCGUUAUCCGGAUUUAUUGGGUUUAAAGGGUGCGUAGGUGGUUAAUUAAGUCAGCGGUGAAAGUUUGUGGCUCAACCAUAGAAUUGCCGUUGAAACUGGUUGGCUUGAGUAUGUUUGAGGUAGGCGGAAUGCGUGGUGUAGCGGUGAAAUGCAUAGAUAUCACGCAGAACUCCGAUUGCGAAGGCAGCCUGCUAAGCUAUAACUGACGCUGAUGCACGAAAGCGUGGGGAUCAAACAGGAUUAGAUACCCGUGUAGUC